AGAAGGAAACACAGGUGGUUGUGUUCUAGCUGGUUGAGGGGUGAUGAGGUAUGACCCACAGCUGAACAGGGCAAACCAGGCAAUCUGUGGAGGGAGGCUGAGCUCAUUGGCUUGAGGUGUAAUGUCACAAACUGUGAGAUUGAGGCUCCUAUGGAACCCAAGGGAAGAAGUGAUGCUCUGGUGCUUUCUGGUGUAUAUCUACUGAUGCUAGGAAAAACUUGCUUCAGUGGUAUCUGCAGAUCAUGCUGGGCUCUGCAGAGUUGGGUGCUCUGUGAUGGCAAAUUGUGGCUGAAUGACUAUGCAGUCAAGAACAACUAUAUGACAAUAAUAAUAAACUGAAGAAAGGAUAUUUCAGGAACCAAAUUCAUCCAAGCAGAUUGUGGAGACAGGAGGAUAUACCCAAGUAUUGUUUUUCCAGCCUGGAAGCUAAGAAAGAGCAGAAUAAUAUGAGCUGAAGAAAACUCUUACUUGAGAGCAUCUCAGUUCAGUUGUGUUUGUACUCAGAGGAGGAAAAAAACCAAACCAAAACAAACAAACAAACAAAAAAAAACAAUGAAAACUCCCCUCCAACUCUUUCUGGAUCCAUUAAGCAUGUCAAGCAAGCAGGAUGAUGCUUUCAUUUGGUUCUCUUCCAAUUUUUCUGUAUAUAUUUUCUUUCUCACCUCUAUAUGUACAAAUAAGCUUGAUAUCUGUCCAGCUCCCAAGUAAAACUAACUCAAACCUGUGUCAUAAUCUCUAGACAAGCUGAUGGGAUCCAGUUUGCUGCAUGAUGUUCUAGUGCCUAAAGCUAUACCUCUAAGGCCAGUCUUCAGCUGUCUCCCUACUACCAACCUCUCCUCUCACUGCAGCAUCUGAUAGAAUGAGCUUGGACAUAAGACAGCUCUUACUAUGCAUACCACUACCAUUUUAGACCUACUGGUCUUCUCAUGGAAUAGCUUCCUACCUCCGUGAGCUUUGUAUUACAUUAUCUGACCCCAGUGCCACUCCUGGAUACCUUUCCUUGUCUCCCAGUUCUAUAACCAGAUUUGAAUCUUCACACCUUCCUUUCAAAUAAAUGGCAUCUCACUC
Molecule: long non-coding RNA, 1068 nt
Organism: Gallus gallus (chicken)
Lineage: Eukaryota; Metazoa; Chordata; Aves; Galliformes; Phasianidae
Source: Ensembl